AACAGGAUUAGAUACCCUGGUAGUCCACGCCCUAAACGAUGUCAACUAGUUGUUGGUAGAGUAAAAUCUAUGAGUAACGCAGCUAACGCGUGAAGUUGACCGCCUGGGGAGUACGAUCGCAAGAUUAAAACUCAAAUGAAUUGACGGGGGCCCGCACAAGCGGUGGAUUAUGUGGAUUAAUUCGAUGCAACGCGAAAAACCUUACCUGGCCUUGACAUGUACGGAACUUUCCAGAGAUGGAUUGGUGCUCGAAAGAGAACCGUAACACAGGUGCUGCAUGGCUGUCGUCAGCUCGUGUCGUGAGAUGUUGGGUUAAGUCCCGCAACGAGCGCAACCCUUGCCAAUAAUUGCCAUCAUUUAGUUGGGCACUUUAUUGGGACUGCCGAUGACAAAUCGGAGGAAGGUGGGGAUGACGUCAAGUCCUCAUGGCCCUUAUGGCCAGGGCUUCACACGUAAUACAAUGGUCGGUACAGAGGGUUGCCAAGCCGCGAGGUGGAGCCAAUCCCAGAAAGCCGAUCGUAGUCCGGAUUGCAGGCUGCAACUCGCCUGCAUGAAGUCGGAAUCGCUAGUAAUCGCGGAUCAGCAUGUCGCGGUGAAUACGUUCCCGGGCCUUGUACACACCGCCCGUCACACCAUGGGAGUGGGUUUUACCAGAAGUAGGUAGUCUAACCGCAAGGAGGACGCUUACCACGGUAGUAUUCAUGACUGGGGUGAAGUCGUAACAAGGUAACC
RNAcentral lists this ribosomal RNA (732 nucleotides) under uncultured bacterium. RNAcentral's name for it is "bacterial SSU rRNA". It matches the Rfam family "Bacterial small subunit ribosomal RNA", at positions 771 to 1501 of the family's 1533-position model. The record is from RNAcentral.